This 253-nucleotide ribosomal RNA is filed under the name uncultured bacterium. RNAcentral describes it as "partial 16S ribosomal RNA". It matches the Rfam family "Bacterial small subunit ribosomal RNA", at positions 524 to 776 of the family's 1533-position model. The record is from RNAcentral.
UACGAACUGUGCAAACGUUAUUCGGAAUCACUGGGCUUAAAGGGUGCGUAGGCGGCUGUCUAAGCAGGGUGUGAAAGCCCCCGGCUCAACCGGGGAAUUGCGUUCUGAACUGGACGGCUGGAGUGGGAUAGAGGUGUGUGGAACUUCCGGUGGAGCGGUGAAAUGUGUUGAUAUCUGGAGGAACACCGGUGGCGAAGGCGGCAUCCUGGACCAAUACUGACACUGAGGAGCGAAAGCCAGGGGAGCAAACGGG